AGAACAGAGAUCAACUCAGCCUCUCUUCAUCCAAAUGGACACAGCAGUCAUCAGAGAAGUGCAUCUGCCGGUCCUUCCACAAGAAGCCCGGAACCUCAGGUGGGACAGCAGCUGGCCAAGAUUCUCUACAGUCAGGCCGACAAGUUCCUCCAGCAGAUGCAGACUUUUGAGGAUCUCCUAAAGAGCGAAAAACUCAAACCUUUUGAACAGAUGAAGGGCCUCUCACAGCUUGCUGCAGGGCUCGAUUCUUUAGAAAGGGGCUACCUGUUAGCGAGGGAUGAACACAAACUCCUGCAGCAGCGAGACGUGGAAAUCAACCACUUUGACCCAGAACGG
Molecule: long non-coding RNA, 336 nt
Organism: Micropterus salmoides (largemouth bass)
Lineage: Eukaryota; Metazoa; Chordata; Actinopteri; Centrarchiformes; Centrarchidae
Exons: 4
Source: RefSeq, a predicted model, not a curated record